AUCUCAAUAAUACCACAUAAAAACUAAAAUACAAUUAUAUAUCGUAUAAUACAACACAAAAUAAUCUGCAACCAUUAAAUUUCAUACAUCUUACAUAUCUUAUAAACAGAAAACCGUAAUAAUAAAAAAGGCUCUAAAAUUCAGGCGCGAUGAUUGCAUCAGUUUAAAAACAGACAUACUCAAGAAACAGAUACACUAAGAUCAGUCUAUUAUAAUAAAACUUACUAUCACUAUAUAAUUUACCCACAUAUGUUAACAUUCUAAUACACGUAUACAAACUAAACACACAUAUACAUCAAUGAAGAAAUGUAAAAGUAAAUAUAAUCGAACUACAAUAUGGCCACAAGCUUUAAAGCUUAAAGCUCGAGUACAUCUAACGCUUUUUUACUCUCCUCUUCUUUUAAUAUUUAUAAACUUCUGCAUCUUAUAACUUUUUCCUUCAACCGAGCACCAGUUCGGCAUCAACAUCAGCAACGUUAACAUCUUUUAAAAGUAAAACUUAAGUGACUUGAAUAAAUAAACAAUUUUACAUUUAAAUUAUUUUUAAAGUUUGAAAUUAUUUUUAAAAUGGACAGCCGUUGGAGAAAUGCAGGAAUCGCUGAAAUAACAAUGCAAGCGUACGCAGACCGCCACGGAUUGUCUGCCGGAAGAAAUGAAUCCGAUAGUAUUUGUUGGCGGCCCAGGGCCAAACCAAUUGCAUUGACCAUUGUUUGCAUUAUUAUUGUGUCUUUGGCGGUUUACUGGCUGAUUGUUGGCCCGAUUUUUGAGAGCCAGAAGCAGAGAGGCAAGAUCAGCCGGGGAGAACGCAAUUGUGAUUGAGUUUUUAUUUAUGUGGAAGAUUGUAUUGAUUUUUGAUAAUUAAUUUUAAUAAAUUUAAUGGAGAAUUUA
This is a long non-coding RNA of Cotesia glomerata, 888 nucleotides long. RefSeq lists it as uncharacterized. The record is from RefSeq and is a predicted model, not a curated record. The transcript is spliced from 2 exons. Lineage: Eukaryota; Metazoa; Arthropoda; Insecta; Hymenoptera; Braconidae.